This 76-nucleotide microRNA precursor is filed under the name Myotis davidii. RNAcentral's name for it is "mir-9193 microRNA precursor family". It matches the Rfam family "mir-9193 microRNA precursor family". The record is from Rfam by way of RNAcentral. Lineage: Eukaryota; Metazoa; Chordata; Mammalia; Chiroptera; Vespertilionidae.
GGGGGGGUGGGGGGAGGUCCCUCAGCCCAGCUUGUGAAAGGGUGCAGACUAGGCUGAGGGACCCCACCAGUUUACA